UCCGAGUUGUCCCUGGUAGUCCACGCCCUAAACGAUGAAUGCUCGAUGUACGCCCGAUUUUGGGCGUGCGUCCAAGCGAAAGCAUUAAGCAUUCCACCUGGGGAGUACGGCCGCAAGGUUAAAACUCAAAUGAAUUGACGGGGGCCCGCACAAGCGGUGGAGCAUGUGGUUUAAUUCGACGCAACGCGAAGAACCUUACCAGGCCUUGACAUCCUUGGAACUUAGCAGAGAUGCUUUGGUGCCUUCGGGAGCCAAGUGACAGGUGCUGCAUGGCUGUCGUCAGCUCGUGUCGUGAGAUGUUGGGUUAAGUCCCGUAACGAGCGCAACCCUUGUCCUUAGUUGCCAGCGCGUAAUGGCGGGAACUCUAAGGAGACUGCCGGUGACAAACCGGAGGAAGGUG
RNAcentral lists this unclassified non-coding RNA (400 nucleotides) under uncultured Gammaproteobacteria bacterium. RNAcentral's name for it is "contains 16S-23S intergenic spacer region". It matches the Rfam family "Bacterial small subunit ribosomal RNA", at positions 778 to 1175 of the family's 1533-position model. Lineage: Bacteria; Pseudomonadati; Pseudomonadota; Gammaproteobacteria. The record is from RNAcentral.